CCCUUUUCAGCCUCAUUCAGCCCCCCAUCCUGAGUGUACGGCACUUGUGCCGGCGACAACACACAAUGCGACAACGGCACCUCCGCUCUGGCAUUGCGCGACGUUGAGCAACGUCGCACCGAGGGCCACCACCGCCACCACACACACCGCCCAGCUACAGCCACAGCCACAGAUGGAAAGGUAUAACCAACAGCCUGCCGCUCUCACUCCAAAGAACAACUCCCAGAAAUCUACAUUCAAACGAUUUCAUUCAUUAUAUUUUAUAUAAUUUAUAUUUUCCUCCUCGUACAUCGUUUCCAUCCUUGUAUAUAAGCUUCUGUCCGUUGCCGGAUCAUAAUAAUAAAAACCAACCUCUGCAACCAUUAAUUAACAACUCCCCGCCACCUGUAAACUCCGUCCCGAGCGGAGCGACGAGCCGAUCAAUACCUUUUCCUCGAAGUGUGAAGAUUCCAGAGAGAUUCGUUGCUUUUACGGCAGUGCCGUACCGUACACGUCACCACAUCAAACAUGCUGCGUGAUUCCUGCUUGCUGGAUCUGGACCUGAAUCUGGAAUCUACGUAGCCUGACUCACCUUUUUGAGUUUUAAACACACAUCGCCUGGAUCUGGAUUUCGAUCUGGAACUGAAUCCUGCCAGGACGCACCCGUACACAAUCUUUGCCUGUCUUCCCCGCCCAUCUCCGCCCAUCGGCGCGCAGAUUUAUACCACAGAUAAACUACUGUUCACAUAAUCUCUAUAUAUAGUAUAGCCGUUUUGGUGAUGUGUACGUCGUUGUACGUCGGCGGCGGGCCAGAUGGGCCCCCUAGGGAUUCGUUCCGUCGUAUGUCUGUCUGUCUGUCUGUCUGUCUUACGCACUGCUGGCCCCGGCUCCGUGACCUUGCGUCGACGGCAGCAUACUCGACCCCGUGAAGGAGUCCCCUGCUGCUCCUGUCGCUAGAGAGCCCAGCUCUGGAGGGGGAGGAGGAGGGGGAGGAGCAGGAGGCGGAGGAGGACCAGGACCAGGAGCAGGAGCACGUUGCAAGACCGGACUGAUGAGAGCCGCCGGCAUGCGCUGCGCCGGAUGCGGUGGCGGCGGCGGCGGCGGCGGUGGCAACAUCAACGGUGAUGACGGCGGCGUCGCCACCGGCACUGCCGUCGCGACGGCGGCCAUGAGGCGCUCCAGGUGCGCCUCCACAAGGAUCGCUGGCGGCCUGUUUUGGGGCUGACGUUGCAAGCAAUGAAGCGCCACUGCCCGGUAGGUCUCCGGGCACGAGGGUGGGAAGGCGGGGAAGAUGCUGCUAUAGCGGGGGCCUUGGUCGGUGCGGAUGCCGGCGCGGCGGCCGUGGUAGAGCUCCCAUAGCAUCACACCCAGCGAGAACACUUGNNNNNNNNNNNNNNNNNNNNNNNNNNNNNNNNNNNNNNNNNNNNNNNNNNAGCCUCAUUCAGCCCCCCAUCCUGAGUGUACGGCACUUGUGCCGGCGACAACACACAAUGCGACAACGGCACCUCCGCUCUGGCAUUGCGCGACGUUGAGCAACGUCGCACCGAGGGCCACCACCGCCACCACACACACCGCCCAGCCACAGCUACAGCCACAGCCACAGAUGGAAAGGUAUAACCAACAGCCUGCCGCUCUCACUCCAAAGAACAACUCCCAGAAAUCUAUAUUCAAACGAUUUCAUUCAUUAUAUUUUAUAUAAUUUAUAUUUUCCUCCUCGUACAUCGUUUCCAUCCUUGUAUAUAAGCUUCUGUCCGUUGCCGGAUAAUAAUAAUAAAAACCAACCUCUGCAACCAUU
Molecule: long non-coding RNA, 1774 nt
Filed under: Volvox carteri
Lineage: Eukaryota; Viridiplantae; Chlorophyta; Chlorophyceae; Chlamydomonadales; Volvocaceae
Description: long non-coding RNA (VCAR_LNC003703)
Source: RNAcentral